AGAGUUUGAUCAUGGCUCAGGAUGAACGCUAGCGGCGCGCUUAAUGCAUGCAAGUCGAGCGAUGAGGCCCCUACGGGGGUACAUCAGCGGCAGACGGGUGAGUAACACGUAGGCAACCUGCCCUUCAGACGGGGAUAACAGUUGGAAACGGCUGCUAAUACCCGAUAGGUACCCGGGGUUAUCGAGAUUCGGGGUAUAAAGUUACGGCGCUGAAGGAGGGGCCUGCGGCCCAUCAGUUAGUUGGUGAGGUAACGGCUCACCAAGACGAAGACGGGUAGGGGGUGUGAGAGCAUGGCCCCCCACAAUGGGACUGAGAUACGGCCCAUACUCCUACGGGAGGCAGCAGCAGGGAAUCUUGCACAAUGGACGGAAGUCUGAUGCAGCGACGCCGCGUGAAUGAAGAAGGCCUUCGGGUUGUAAAAUUCUUUUCUGGGGGAAGAGGAAGGACGGUACCCCAGGAAUAAGUGUCGGCUAACUACGUGCCAGCAGCCGCGGUAAUACGUAGGACACGAGCGUUAUCCGGAUUUACUGGGCGUAAAGCGUCUGUAGGCGGUGCGGCAAGUCGGCUGUGAAAGCCCCAGGCUCAACCUGGGGAGGCCAGUCGAUACUGCUGGACUUGAGGGCGAGAGAGGGGAGUGGAAUUCCCGGAGUAGCGGUAAAAUGCGCAGAUAUCGGGAGGAACACCAGUGGCGAAGGCGGCU
Molecule: ribosomal RNA, 701 nt
Filed under: uncultured bacterium
Lineage: Bacteria
Description: bacterial SSU rRNA
Rfam family: Bacterial small subunit ribosomal RNA
Source: RNAcentral